GACGAACGCUGGCGGCGCGCUUAACACAUGCAAGUCGAACGGAAAGGCCUGCUUUCCCUUGUGGAUUGCGGGUACUCGAGUGGCGAACGGGUGAGUAACACGUGAGUGAUCUGCCCCCAACUUGGGUAUAAGCCUGGGAAACUGGGUCUAAUUCCCGAUAGGACUGCAGGGUGGUGCCUGUGGUGGAAAACGAUUUUCUAGUGGUUGGGGAUGAGCUCGCGGCCUAUCAGCUUGUUGGUGGGGUAAUGGCCUACCAAGGCGGCGACGGGUAGCCGGCCUGGGAGGGUGGACGGCCACAUUGGGACUGAGAUACGGCCCAGACUCCUACGGGAGGCAGCAGUGGGGAAUAUUGCACAAUGGGCGGAAGCAGGAUGCAGCGACGCCGCGUGGGGGAUGACGGCCUUCGGGUUGUAAACUCCUUUCGACCGCGAGGAAGCCACCUGGUUGGAAGGGUGGUGACGGUAGUGGUAGAAGAAGCACCGGCUAACUACGU
This 493-nucleotide ribosomal RNA is filed under the name uncultured bacterium. RNAcentral's name for it is "partial 16S ribosomal RNA". It matches the Rfam family "Bacterial small subunit ribosomal RNA", at positions 28 to 506 of the family's 1533-position model. The record is from RNAcentral.